AUUCCAGCUCCAAUAGCGUAUAUUAAAGUUGUUGCAGUUAGAACGCUCGUAGUCGGAUUUCGGGGCGGGGCGACCGGUCUGCCGAUGGGUACGCACUGGUCGGCGCGUCCUUCCUUCCGGAGACCGUGCCUACUCUUAACUGAGCGGGGGCGGGAGACGGAACGUUUACUUUGAAAAAAUCAGAGUGUUUCAAGCAGGCAGCUCGCUCUUGCAUGGAUUAGCAUGGGAUAAUGAAAUAGGACUUUGGUGCUAUUUUGUUGGUUUCGAACACCGAAGUAAUGAUGAGAAGGGACAGUCAGGGGCAUUUGUAUUCGACCGAGAGAGGUGAAAUUCUCAGACCAGUCGAAGACAAACUACUGCGAAAGCAUCUGCCAGGGAUGUUUUCAUUA
This 389-nucleotide ribosomal RNA is filed under the name Chrysochromulina sp. Its description in RNAcentral is "partial small subunit ribosomal RNA". It matches the Rfam family "Eukaryotic small subunit ribosomal RNA", at positions 582 to 975 of the family's 1831-position model. The record is from RNAcentral. Lineage: Eukaryota; Haptophyta; Prymnesiales; Chrysochromulinaceae.